Molecule: long non-coding RNA, 219 nt
Filed under: Capsicum annuum
Lineage: Eukaryota; Viridiplantae; Streptophyta; Magnoliopsida; Solanales; Solanaceae
Description: long non-coding RNA (CANN_LNC011569)
Source: RNAcentral
AAGACGACAGAUCUACUCCCUAGUCUAAAGAGGGAGUAUAAUCAGCUGGAUCGGUUAGUGGUGAGAGAGAUACAAAUACUUUCUAGUUUGAAGAAGGAUAAGAAUACUCUAAGUCUGAUGAGGGGAAGAAGGAUACUGAUGUGUAUCUACUUUAGGUGCUAAGAUAUAUGAUUCAAAAUAAAUCGCUACAUUGCUUUUAGCCUAGAAAAUAGAAGGUAU